Molecule: ribosomal RNA, 369 nt
Filed under: uncultured bacterium
Lineage: Bacteria
Description: partial 16S ribosomal RNA
Rfam family: Bacterial small subunit ribosomal RNA
Source: RNAcentral
CCUACGGGUGGCAGCAGUGGGGAAUAUUGCGCAAUGGGCGAAAGCCUGACGCAGCGACGCCGCGUGAGGGAUGAAGGCCUUCGGAUCGUAAACCUCUGUCAGCAGGGAAGAACGGUCACUGUGCUAAGCAGCAGUGAAUUUACGGUACCUGCAAAGGAAGCACCGGCUAACUCCGUGCCAGCCGCCGAGGUAAGACGGAGGGUGCGAGCGUUAAUCGGAAUUACUGGGGGUAAAGGGCGCGUAGGCGGGAUAGUAAGUCAAAUGUGAAAUCCUAUGGCUUAACCAUUGAACUGCAUUUGAGACUGUUGGUCUAGAGGAUGGGUGAGGUAGGUGGAAUUCGUGGUGUAGCGGUGAAAUGCGUAGAGAUCA